GGCGGACGGGUGAGUAAUAUAUAGUUAACCUGCCCUCGAGAAAGGAAUAACAGUUGGAAACGACUGCUAAUGCCCUAUAUGCCUUUAAGACAUAAGUCUGCAAGGGAAAUGCUUUUGUGCUCGAGGAUGGGACUGUACGGUAUCAGAUAGUUGGUGGGGUAAUGGCCUACCAAGUCAAUGACGCCUAACUGGUUUGAGAGGAUGAUCAGUCACACUGGAACUGAGACACGGUCCAGACUCCUACGGGAGGCAGCAGUGGGGAAUAUUGCACAAUGGAGGAAACUCUGAUGCAGCAACGCCGCGUGGAGGAUGACACAUUUCGGUGCGUAAACUCCUUUUAUAUAGGAAGAUAAUGACGGUACUAUAUGAAUAAGCGCCGGCUAACUCCGUGCCAGCAGCCGCGGUAAUACGGAGGGCGCAAGCGUUACUCGGAAUCACUGGGCGUAAAGAGCGUGUAGGCGGAUAGAUAAGUCAGAAGUGAAAUCCUAUGGCUCAACCAUAGAACUGCUUUUGAAACUGUUUAUCUAGAGUGUGGGAGAGGUAGAUGGAAUUUCUGGUGUAGGGGUAAAAUCCGUAGAGAUCAGAAGGAAUACCGAUUGCGAAGGCGAUCUACUGGAACAUAACUGACGCUGAGACGCGAAAGCGUGGGGAGCAAACAGGAUUAGAUACCCUGGUAGUCCACGCCCUAAACGAUGUACACUAGUUGUUGUGAGGCUUGACCUUGCAGUAAUGCAGUUAACACAUUAAGUGUACC
Molecule: ribosomal RNA, 754 nt
Filed under: uncultured Arcobacter sp.
Lineage: Bacteria; Pseudomonadati; Campylobacterota; Epsilonproteobacteria; Campylobacterales; Arcobacteraceae
Description: bacterial SSU rRNA
Rfam family: Bacterial small subunit ribosomal RNA
Source: RNAcentral